CCUUUGUACACACCGCCCGUCGCUACUACCGAUUGAAUGGCUCAGUGAGGCCUUCGGAUCGACUCAGGGAGGUCGGCAACGACCACCCAGAGUUGAAAAGUUGGUCAAACUCGGUCAUUUAGAGG
RNAcentral lists this ribosomal RNA (125 nucleotides) under Extremus antarcticus. RNAcentral's name for it is "partial small subunit ribosomal RNA". It matches the Rfam family "Eukaryotic small subunit ribosomal RNA", at positions 1657 to 1779 of the family's 1831-position model. The record is from RNAcentral. Lineage: Eukaryota; Fungi; Ascomycota; Dothideomycetes; Mycosphaerellales; Extremaceae.